This is a small nuclear RNA of Hibiscus syriacus, 155 nucleotides long. RefSeq annotates it as U1 spliceosomal RNA. The record is from RefSeq and is a predicted model, not a curated record. Lineage: Eukaryota; Viridiplantae; Streptophyta; Magnoliopsida; Malvales; Malvaceae. The transcript has a single exon.
AUUCUUACCUGGACGGGGGUUAACAUCAAGGCCCAUGGCUUAGGUUAGUGACCUCCACUGCACUUAGGAGAAGUGCUCACCUAAGGUCUCCCAAAAGUGGGAGAGCGUACGUCAUAAUUUGUGGUAGUGGGGGCCUUCGUCCGCGCGGCCCCGUC